This 497-nucleotide ribosomal RNA is filed under the name uncultured bacterium. RNAcentral describes it as "partial 16S ribosomal RNA". It matches the Rfam family "Bacterial small subunit ribosomal RNA", at positions 28 to 507 of the family's 1533-position model. The record is from RNAcentral.
GAUGAACGCUGGCGGCGUGCCUAAUACAUGCAAGUCGAGCGAACGGACGAGAAGCUUGCUUCUCUGAUGUUAGCGGCGGACGGGUGAGUAACACGUGGAUAACCUACCUAUAAUACUGGGAUAACUUCGGGAAACCGGAGCUAAUACCGGAUCAUAUUUUGAACCGCAUGGUUCAAAAGUGAAAGACGGUCUUGCUGUCACUUAUAGAUGGAUCCGCGCUGCAUUAGCUAGUUGGUAAGGUAACGGCUUACCAAGGCAACGAUGCAUAGCCGACCUGAGAGGGUGAUCGGCCACACUGGAACUGAGACACGGUCCAGACUCCUACGGGAGGCAGCAGUAGGGAAUCUUCCGCAAUGGGCGAAAGCCUGACGGAGCAACGCCGCGUGAGUGAUGAAGGUCUUCGGAUCGUAAAACUCUGUUAUUAGGGAAGAACAUAUGUGUAAGUAACUGUGCACAUCUUGACGGUACCUAAUCAGAAAGCCACGGCUAACUACGUG